GUGCUUACUUCAGCAGCACAUGUACUAAAAAUUGGAACAGUACAGAGAUUAAUCAUGCUUCUCUGCUGUAGGAUGAUAUGCAGAUUUGUGAUGUGUUUUGGAUAUUU
Molecule: small nuclear RNA, 107 nt
Filed under: Tursiops truncatus (common bottlenose dolphin)
Lineage: Eukaryota; Metazoa; Chordata; Mammalia; Artiodactyla; Delphinidae
Source: RNAcentral